Molecule: ribosomal RNA, 293 nt
Filed under: uncultured bacterium
Lineage: Bacteria
Description: partial 16S ribosomal RNA
Rfam family: Bacterial small subunit ribosomal RNA
Source: RNAcentral
ACUCCUACGGGAGGCAGCAGUAAGGAAUAUUGCGCAAUGGGCGAAAGCCUGACGCAGCGACGCCGCGUGGGGAUGAAGGUCUUCGGAUUGUAAACCCUUCGUCAGGGAAGGAUGGGCGGGCAGCAGCUCGGACGGUACCUGCAGAAGCAGCCACGGCUAACUUCGUGCCAGCAGCCGCGGUAAUACGAAGGUGGCAAGCGUUGUUCGGAUUUUACUGGGCGUACAGGGAGCGUAGGCGGUUAGGUAAGCCCUUCGUGAAAUCUCCGGGCCUAACCCGGAAAGUGCGGGGGNGG